Molecule: unclassified non-coding RNA, 331 nt
Filed under: soil metagenome
Description: partial contains 5.8S ribosomal RNA, internal transcribed spacer 2, and large subunit ribosomal RNA
Rfam family: 5.8S ribosomal RNA (bases 1-120)
Source: RNAcentral
GAUGAAGAACGCAGCGAAAUGCGAUAAGUAAUGUGAAUUGCAGAAUUCAGUGAAUCAUCGAAUCUUUGAACGCACAUUGCGCCCCCUGGUAUUCCGGGGGGCAUGCCUGUUCGAGCGUCAUUUCACCACUCAAGCCUCGCUUGGUAUUGGGCAACGCGGUCCGCCGCGUGCCUCAAAUCGACCGGCUGGGUCUUCUGUCCCCUAAGCGUUGUGGAAACUAUUCGCUAAAGGGUGUUCGGGAGGCUACGCCGUAAAACAACCCCAUUUCUAAGGUUGACCUCGCAUCAGGUAGGGAUACCCGCUGAACUUAAGCAUAUCAAUAAGCGGAGGA